Molecule: long non-coding RNA, 269 nt
Filed under: Rattus norvegicus (Norway rat)
Lineage: Eukaryota; Metazoa; Chordata; Mammalia; Rodentia; Muridae
Description: long non-coding RNA NONRATT004749
Source: RNAcentral
AUUGACUUGCACAUUAAGGACAAUAAGUUAUAGGAUCCCCUGGCUCAGUCCGAUGGUUAGCUGUGGAGAUUAACAGAAAGCUGCUGCACGGACAAGUCAACAUCAGACUCUGUUAAAGUGGCAAAACCUCACUACAGGACAUUCUAAGAGAUUCUCUCACUCAUCACAACCCCACAUGUUCUGCUGCUCAUGACAUCACUGUGGACUGCAGUCGUUCCUCAGCAGGACCGUCUCCCAGUAUAUUAAAGAGCCUCACAAACUCUGCAAAA